AUCUGAUGUAUGUUUCCGAAUGUGUACUCUGUGAUCUAUAGUUUUUCUGUAAAAAUUAGAAAAAUUGUCAUUUACUUCUUAGAGGCAUCUUAAGUCCUUAAAAAAAAAAAAAGGCCAGCAUCAUCUGUUGUGGAUGAUAAGUGGACCAUGUGGACCAUGUGUAUAUUACAAAGACACUACAUUUGUAUUAUCAGGAAGUUAACUGUCUCUCCGCCAAAGGACAGCUAUAGUCCAUGUGUUCGGUUACAUGUUUUCUCAUUAACCAUGAUAUUUCCUACGUUUCUUGUUUUCUUUUGAGGAUUUUUGCUUUAAGCGACAUGGCAAUAGCAUACAUAUUUGCAAUAACAAUGCUUCAUUAGAGAAUGUAAGAAUUUCUCCCUUCAUCAAAGAUACACUUGCCAUUGCAAUAUAACAACAGUUUACAAUUGGAUAAUAUAUGCAUCAUAUUGUACAAGUGCAGUAUUUCAACUCAUAAUUCAACACAUUGUAGGAAACAAAUUCACCAAUAUGAUCACAAACCUCUGAAUGUGUUUGUAUAUUUUAAUAGGUCGCCAUAACUCCAGUAAAUAAUGUACUACUAAACUACUGCACAUUUAUAAUAAGCCACUUAAGCUAAUGACAUGUGAAGACCAGUUCAGUUCAUUUUACUUCAUGAGACAUAAUGUGUCGCAUUCCUUUAUCUUGAUUCAACUUAUUUAAACACUAUUUUAUGUGCAAACCGAUGGCUCAAUUUUAUUUUUAUUUUUGCAACAAGUAUUAUCAGAAACAUUGUUUUGUUAUAAUUAAUUAUUGCUUUGUAUUUAUCCUUAGAAAUCUUUACUAAAAGGGCCUAAACAUUUUUUAUUUCUUUUUUUGGGGCUCAUAAGGGGUUUAAAAUACAUUUAUGUAUAUCAGUGCUUUGUUUUGAGUUGCUGUGCAACUCAGAGUUAGAGAAUUAGCAUUAAACUGUUAAGGAUGUCUGAAAAACUACUGCUGUUACUGUCCAGUAUGCAGUCCCCUUGUAUCUACAGGGAGGACUGUAUAUUGAUACAUUUUGUACUCAAUAAGCAGCACCAGUAAUGGACCGACCUGUAUGUAAAUGUAUUAAAUAUAUAUAUAUAUAUUAUUAGUUCAUCUGUAAUGUAUAUUUGCUCUUCACGCCUGUUUAUUUGGAAAUAAA
This is a long non-coding RNA of Esox lucius (northern pike), 1159 nucleotides long. Lineage: Eukaryota; Metazoa; Chordata; Actinopteri; Esociformes; Esocidae. The record is from Ensembl.